GGCGGCAUGGCGAAGUGGUAACGCGACUGUCUGCAAAACAGUUAUGCGCCGGUCCAAUUCCGGCUGCCGCCUCCA
This 75-nucleotide transfer RNA is filed under the name Candidatus Yanofskybacteria bacterium RIFCSPHIGHO2_01_FULL_44_22. Its description in RNAcentral is "tRNA-Cys". It matches the Rfam family "tRNA". Rfam says of the family: Transfer RNA (tRNA) molecules are approximately 80 nucleotides in length. Their secondary structure includes four short double-helical elements and three loops (D, anti-codon, and T loops). Further hydrogen bonds mediate the characteristic L-shaped molecular structure. tRNAs have two regions of fundamental functional importance: the anti-codon, which is responsible for specific mRNA codon recognition, and the 3' end, to which the tRNAs corresponding amino acid is attached (by aminoacyl-tRNA synthetases). tRNAs cope with the degeneracy of the genetic code in two manners: having more than one tRNA (with a specific anti-codon) for a particular amino acid; and 'wobble' base-pairing, i.e. permitting non-standard base-pairing at the 3rd anti-codon position. Lineage: Bacteria; Candidatus Yanofskyibacteriota. The record is from RNAcentral.